AUAGCCAAAGAGACUGCC
Molecule: small nuclear RNA, 18 nt
Filed under: Arabidopsis thaliana (thale cress)
Lineage: Eukaryota; Viridiplantae; Streptophyta; Magnoliopsida; Brassicales; Brassicaceae
Description: snRNA_03781
Source: RNAcentral